This 1248-nucleotide ribosomal RNA is filed under the name Triticum aestivum (bread wheat). RNAcentral's name for it is "partial small subunit ribosomal RNA". The record is from RNAcentral. Lineage: Eukaryota; Viridiplantae; Streptophyta; Magnoliopsida; Poales; Poaceae.
AUGCCGUUUGCCUUGUUUGUCGGGGUAAACAACCACUUCCAGUCUGUUAUAUUUGGUGGUGCACUAAUGCGAGAGGAAACUAAAGCUGCUUUUAAUUGGCUAUUUAAGACUUUUGUGGCUCUGAUGAAUGACAAGCAUCAUGUGACGAUCCUAACAGAUCAAGCUUUAGCUAUGAAAGGUGCGAUUGAGAGUGCUCUCCCGAAGACUAAACACAUAUGGUGUAAAUGGCAUGUCCUCCGGGAUGUUAAAGGAAAUAUUGGCCAUGUGUACAACAAGUCUUCUGGGUUCAAGAAGGAAUUCAACAAGCUAGUCAACGAUGUGAUGUGUGUCGAUGAGUUCGAAUCCAAAUGGUUGUCCCUCGUGAACAGGUUCAAUGUCACUGAUAAUGAGUAUAUGGUCAGACUAUAUGAUAAGAGGACCAUGUGGGCAAAGCCGUAUUUCAAGGGAAUUUUUUGUGCUAGAAUGACAAGCACACAGCGUAGCGAGAGUGCUAAUCAUAUAGUGAAACAGUACAUACCGAGGUCAUCCCCCAUGCACGUGUUUGUUCGCCAAUACAACAAAUUCCUUGGGUCAAGGAUGAGCGAUGAGGCAAGGGAAUUCCACCUAAAUGCAAAUAAAUCACGUACUUACGAAUCCACAUAUCCAAUAGAGGAUGAUGCUGCAUCAAUAUACACACGUUCUGUUUUGCUGAAGUUCCAAGACGAGCUUUAUAAGUGUGGGAGUUAUGUAGUGACACCUGUGGUGCACGGUGCACAAUACAUGGUUAGUGUCGCACCAUCCAAAGUAAAGGAUGCAACAAAGAAGAAGUGGCGAAAUGUCAAGAUCGAUGACGACGGGCAGUUCAUAAACUGUGAUUGUGGGAUGUUCGACCAUGUCGGUAUGUUGUGCAGACAUGCAUUGAAGGUAAUGAUUCGUGAAGAUUUUCUGAAGAUCCCCUCUAAAAAUAUUUUGAAGCGAUGGACUAUAUGGGCAACCGAAUCUUAUCCAGCAGGCAUGGACAUGAGCGAUAACGGGCCACAUACAGAUGACACUAGUUAUCUAAAGAACCUCCUGCAUAUUGCUGUCGAGGAUCUCAUGAAAGGGAGUUCACAUGAUAAGAAGAGUUUAGAAGCUGUGGUAGAAGGGAUGGGCAAACUCACAGCUGCAAGACGGAAGAACACUAGUAUGACUGAAACCAACCAUCGUCUGGAACCUCCACACGUCGAGAGUUUCUUCAACAUCCACGUCACACACGGAUCUCGCUCCUGA